This 253-nucleotide ribosomal RNA is filed under the name uncultured bacterium. RNAcentral describes it as "partial 16S ribosomal RNA". It matches the Rfam family "Bacterial small subunit ribosomal RNA", at positions 524 to 776 of the family's 1533-position model. The record is from RNAcentral.
UACGGAGGGUGCAAGCGUUAAUCGGAAUCACUGGGCGUAAAGCGCGCGUAGGCGGCUUGGUAAGUCAGGUGUGAAAGCCCCCGGCCCAACCGGGGAAUUGCACUUGAUACUGCUAGGCUAGAGUUCAGGAGAGGGUGGCGGAAUUCCAGGUGUAGGAGUGAAAUCCGUAGAUAUCUGGAGGAACACCGGUGGCGAAGGCGGCCACCUGGACUGACACUGACGCUGAGGUGCGAAAGCGUGGGUAGCAAACAGG